This 479-nucleotide ribosomal RNA is filed under the name uncultured bacterium. RNAcentral describes it as "bacterial SSU rRNA". It matches the Rfam family "Bacterial small subunit ribosomal RNA", at positions 8 to 526 of the family's 1533-position model. The record is from RNAcentral.
AGAGUUUGAUCCUGGCUCAGGAUGAACGCUGGCGGUAUGCUUUACACAUGCAAGUCGUACGAGAGUUUUUAACUCAAGUGGCGGACGGGUGAGUAACACGUAAGAAUUUGCCUUUAGGAGGGGGAUAACAACUGGAAACGGUUGCUAAUACCCCAUAUGCUUUCGAGUGAAAUGGAUUUUUCCGCCUAAAGAGAAGCUUGCGGCUGAUUAGCUUGUUGGUAAGGUAAUGGCUUACCAAGGCGACGACCAGUAUCUGGUUUGAGAGGACGAUCAGACACACUGGAACUGAGACACGGUCCAGACUCCUACGGGAGGCAGCAGUGGGGAAUUUUCCGCAAUGGGCGAAAGCCUGACGGAGCAAUACCGCGUGAGGGAUGACGGCCUAUGGGUUGUAAACCUCUUUUUUCAGGGAGGAAUAAAAUGACGUGUACCUGAAGAAUAAGCAUCGGCUAACUCCGUGCCAGCCGCCGCGGUAAUUC